This 219-nucleotide long non-coding RNA is filed under the name Lathyrus oleraceus (garden pea). Its description in RNAcentral is "Pisum sativum (pea) long non-coding RNA (PSAT_LNC022434)". Lineage: Eukaryota; Viridiplantae; Streptophyta; Magnoliopsida; Fabales; Fabaceae. The record is from RNAcentral.
AUAUAUUUAUGCAAUAUUAUGGUAGUAGAAUAGCAUGCAAGGCAAUCUAAAAAUAUCACAAUAGCAGAAUAAAAUAAACUGAAGCAAAACAAAAUAAUAAAAAUAAACUACUAUAAAUUAUUAUGAAGAACGCAAGCAGUGACCGUUGCAGCUUACCGUGUGACGAGCGUCACACACGCCAUCACGGUCGUCACACCAAGUGCUUGUGACGCCCGUAAC